RNAcentral lists this ribosomal RNA (425 nucleotides) under uncultured bacterium. Its description in RNAcentral is "partial 16S ribosomal RNA". It matches the Rfam family "Bacterial small subunit ribosomal RNA", at positions 354 to 796 of the family's 1533-position model. The record is from RNAcentral.
GUGGGGAAUAUUGGACAAUGGGCGCAAGCCUGAUCCAGCCAUGCCGCGUGAGUGAUGAAGGCCUUAGGGUUGUAAAGCUCUUUCAGUGGGGACGAUAAUGACGGUACCCACAGAAGAAGCCCCGGCUAACUUCGUGCCAGCAGCCGCGGUAAUACGAAGGGGGCUAGCGUUGUUCGGAUUUACUGGGCGUAAAGCGCACGUAGGCGGUUUGUUAAGUCAGGGGUGAAAUCCCGGAGCUCAACUCCGGAACUGCCUUUGAUACUGGCAAGCUAGAGGCCGGAAGAGGUAAGUGGAACUCCUAGUGUAGAGGUGGAACUCGUAGAUAUUAGGAAGAACACCAGUGGCGAAGGCGGCUUACUGGUCCGGAACUGACGCUGAGGUGCGAAAGCGUGGGGAGCAAACAGGAUUAGAUACCCGUGUAGUCC